UACGUAGGGCGCAAGCGUUAUCCGGAAUUAUUGGGCGUAAAGAGCGCGUAGGCGGUUUGUCGCGUCUGCCGUGAAAGUCCGGGGCUCAACUCCGGAUCUGCGGUGGGUACCGGCAGACUAGAGUGAUGUAGGGGAGACUGGAAUUCCUGGUGUAGCGGUGAAAUGCGCAGAUAUCAGGAGGAACACCGAUGGCGAAGGCAGGUCUCUGGGCAUUAACUGACGCUGAGGAGCGAAAGCAUGGGGAGCGAACAGG
Molecule: ribosomal RNA, 253 nt
Filed under: uncultured bacterium
Lineage: Bacteria
Description: partial 16S ribosomal RNA
Rfam family: Bacterial small subunit ribosomal RNA
Source: RNAcentral